This 1392-nucleotide long non-coding RNA is filed under the name Gopherus agassizii (Agassiz's desert tortoise). Its description in RNAcentral is "lncRNA (ENSGAGG00000020452.1)". Lineage: Eukaryota; Metazoa; Chordata; Testudines; Testudinidae. The record is from RNAcentral.
AUGUUCCAUGGAAAGCAUCAGACAAAUAACAGCUGGAACAAGAAGUCAAGCUGUGAAACAUGCAAAUGUUGCAUCAUCUGGCUUCUUGGCAGACCACUCAGAACAAAGACACCCUGUCUCCUGGAGCUCCUGCCUCACAGUCACUACACAUUAGGUAAGGUUUACACAGCUCAAGCUUCAGAAACAACGAAACAGCUAAUUCCACUGGAUGCUAUUCCCCACUGCCCUGUGGUUCACUAAGGUGUGAGAUCAGCUGAUAAGAGACAGCUUCAGCUACAUUCUGGCCAUCUGAUGAAACCAGGCCCCCGGUAUCCUGAUUUGUCACCAACAUCCACUAGUCACAAUUUUCCGUCAUAACAACAUGCACCUGAUCAGCCAUUCAAAUCAAGCAGGCCAACAGCAGGUUUUGCAGUAGACCCUAACACCCACAUUUACUACCAUCUGAAGAAGAAUGACCACUUCUGUCCAUCACUAAGACCAGCCCUUCAAUCUAGGCCAUUUUCAUAGACAGCUUGACUCAAAUUCCAUUGAAGUCAGUAGAGAGACUCUCACUGAAUCACAUCUAGAAUGUCUGCAGAUGGACUCCAUCUUAAAGAAAGAGAGCUGGAUAAGGCAAGGAGAGAAGAGAUGCACAUGUGCGGUCACCAAGUGGAUUUGGGUGAAGAGAUGUGCAGAGAGUGCGGAAUGAGAAAUGAGAGAAAAGGAAGGCAAAACUGAGGAGAAGCUUGAAAGAGAAAAUGAAUGAGUGAGUGAGAGUGAAACAGAAAAAGAGGAAUGGAGGGAGAGUGGAGAAAAAAGAGACAGGAUGAUGAAAGAAGAGAUAUGCCAAUAUGCAACAUAAGGAAAGAAAAAGUGAAGAAAAGAUGAGUAGCAAGUGAGACCCCAAACGAUACAUAUUUUAUUAUUUAAAACAAGGUUUUUAGCCAUAAUGUUACAAUACUAAGGAUGCUUGAUUUUUGUAGACAAACUGGGUAUGUUCAUCUUCAGGAGUGACCUGGCUGAAAUACUACCUGAGAGACGAAAGUAGCAAAUGUUUUAAUCUUGUCAGGGAAAGGAAUGGCUUCAAGGGGUCCUAUUGGGUAGAGUACACUGAAGAAGAGCUUGAUUCAGUUUUAUUCCUAAGAGGGAAGUAGCAGCACUAGCCCUCCGCUUUGAUGUAGCCUGUGGAAACUGAUGUUUUAGGACAGUCUGACAUCAAUUAAAGCCCCACGCUGCACAAAUUAAAACCUGCUUUUCUUCACUAAUUUCCUUGGCUUAUACUAUUUUCAAAAUCAUGCAGUUCAAACACAUACAACAGCCAAAUAAGACUGUCAUCCCCAACUGUCUUAAAUAUAACAGUUUUCCCUACACUACUGUCUGAAAUAAACAGAUCUAGAGCUUGUUUACUGAGCA